CUGCCGGCGUGCUUAACACAUGCAAGUCGAGCGGUAAGGCCCUUCGGGGUACACGAGCGGCGAACGGGUGAGUAACACGUGGGUGAUCUGCCUUGCACUCUGGGAUAAGCCUGGGAAACUGGGUCUAAUACCGGAUAUGACCUUCGGCUUCCUGGUCGAUGGUGGAAAGAUUUAUCGGUGCAAGAUGAGCCCGCGGCCUAUCAGCUUGUUGGUGGGGUAAUGGCCUACCCAAGGCGACGACGGGUAGCCGGCCUGAGAGGGCGACCGGCCACACUGGGGACUGAGACACGGGCCCAGACUCCUACGGGAGGCAGCAGUGGGGAAUAUUGCACAAUGGGCGGAAGCCUGAUGCAGCGACGCCGCGUGAGGGAUGACGGCCUUCGGGUUGUAAACCUCUUUCGACUCCGACGAAGCGAGAGUGACGGUAGGAGUAUAAGAAGCACCGGCCAACUACGUGCCACCAGCCGCGGUAAUACGUAGGGUGCGAGCGUGUCCGGAAUUACUGGGCGUAAAGAGCUUGUAGGCGGCUUGUCGCGUCGAUCGUGAAAACUCGGGGCUCAACCCCGAGCUUGCGGUCGAUACGGGCAGGCUUGAGUACUUCAGGGGAGACUGGAAUUCCUGGUGUAGCGGUGAAAUGCGCAGAUAUCAGGAGGAACACCGGUGGCGAAGGCGGGUCUCUGGGAAGUAACUGACGCUGAGAAGCGAAAGCGUGGGUAGCGAACAGGAUUAGAUACCCUGGUAGUCCACGCCGUAAACGGUGGGUACUAGGUGUGGGUUUCCUUCCACGGGAUCCGUGCCGUAGCUAACGCAUUAAGUACCCCGCCUGGGGAGUACGGCCGCAAGGCUAAAACUCAAAGGAAUUGACGGGGGCCCGCACAAGCGGCGGAGCAUGUGGAUUAAUUCGAUGCAACGCGAAGAACCUUACCUGGGUUUGACAUACACCGGAAACCUGCAGAGAUGUAGGCCCCCUUGUGGUCGGUGUACAGGUGGUGCAUGGCUGUCGUCAGCUCGUGUCGUGAGAUGUUGGGUUAAGUCCCGCAACGAGCGCAACCCUUAUCUUAUGUUGCCAGCGCGUAAUGGCGGGGACUCGUGAGAGACUGCCGGGGUCAACUCGGAGGAAGGUGGGGACGACGUCAAGUCAUCAUGCCCCUUAUGUCCAGGGCUUCACACAUGCUACAAUGGCCGGUACAGAGGGCUGCGAUACCGUGAGGUGGAGCGAAUCCCUUAAAGCCGGUCUCAGUUCGGAUCGGGGUCUGCAACUCGACCCCGUGAAGUUGGAGUCGCUAGUAAUCGCAGAUCAGCAACGCUGCGGUGAAUACGUUCCCGGGCCUUG
RNAcentral lists this ribosomal RNA (1333 nucleotides) under Nocardia testacea. RNAcentral describes it as "16S ribosomal RNA". It matches the Rfam family "Bacterial small subunit ribosomal RNA", at positions 36 to 1383 of the family's 1533-position model. The record is from RNAcentral. Lineage: Bacteria; Bacillati; Actinomycetota; Actinomycetes; Mycobacteriales; Nocardiaceae.